RNAcentral lists this ribosomal RNA (317 nucleotides) under uncultured bacterium. RNAcentral's name for it is "bacterial SSU rRNA". It matches the Rfam family "Bacterial small subunit ribosomal RNA", at positions 28 to 342 of the family's 1533-position model. The record is from RNAcentral.
GAUGAACGCUAGCGGCAGGCUUAAUACAUGCAAGUCGAGGGGUAACAGGGGUAGCAAUACCUGCUGACGACCGGCAAACGGGUGCGGAACACGUACGCAACUUUCCCAAAACUGGUGAAUAGCCCUCCGAAAGGAGGAUUAAUACACCGUAACAUAAUGAAGUGGCAUCACUUUAUUAUUAUAGCUCCGGCGGUUUUGGAUGGGCGUGCGCCUGAUUAGGUAGUUGGCGGGGUAACGGCCCACCAAGCCUGCGAUCAGUAACUGGUGUGAGAGCACGACCAGUCACACGGGCACUGAGACACGGGCCCGACUCCUAC